UACGUAGGGUGCAAGCGUUGUCCGGAAUUAUUGGGCGUAAAGAGCUCUGUAGCGGUCUGUCGCGUCUGCUGUGAAAACCUGGGGCUUAACCCCGGGCCUGCAGUGGGUACGGGCAGACUAGAGUGCGGUAGGGGAGACUGGAAUUCCUGGUGUAGCGGUGAAAUGCGCAGAUAUCAGGAGGAACACCGGUGGCGAAGGCGGGUCUCUGGGCCGAUACUGACGCUGAGGAGCGAAAGCGUGGGGAGCGAACAGG
This 253-nucleotide ribosomal RNA is filed under the name uncultured bacterium. Its description in RNAcentral is "partial 16S ribosomal RNA". It matches the Rfam family "Bacterial small subunit ribosomal RNA", at positions 524 to 776 of the family's 1533-position model. The record is from RNAcentral.